CAGCCUUCCUAUAUAUAUCGUUUCCGCAGAACUUCCGGACUUUUCACAAUUUGUGUAUGAUUCUUCCGUGAUCCGCAGCCGACUAUUCGCAUCAGUUCUAAGAACAUUGUUGCUCAGCCGUCCACCUAUCUUCCAUACGCUAGAAAAAUAGUGAAACUUUUGCAGGCUUAGACAUGGGGCAAUGGCCACAUUCCAUACGAAAAUAGAAUCAUCUGGUUCUUGAACUGCAUAUCCGUGAGGGCCAACUUUUGGUAUUUUUCAACACAGGAUGGAUUGGAAGAGGCUUUGUGUUUCCAGGAUUUAUUUUUAACAGUAUUCAUUUUUUUUCAAUUGAUCGUUUUUUCUCUCAAAAGCCAUGAACUGCCGGUUAGGCUAGACAGGCGACUGCUUAUUUUAAAUUUAGGUUAUCACAUUUUCCUUUAGAAAUUCUUUUUAUUUAUUUAUUUUAUUUAUUAUUAUUUUUUUAUUUUUUUAACAAUAAAUCUUUGCUAUGAAUCCCAGAA
Molecule: unclassified non-coding RNA, 503 nt
Filed under: Schizosaccharomyces pombe (fission yeast)
Lineage: Eukaryota; Fungi; Ascomycota; Schizosaccharomycetes; Schizosaccharomycetales; Schizosaccharomycetaceae
Description: non-coding RNA (predicted)
Source: RNAcentral